CGAAUGCUGACAUAAGUAACGAUAAAGCGGGUGAAAAGCCCGCUCGCCGGAAGACCAAGGGUUCCUGUCCAACGUUAAUCGGGGCAGGGUGAGUCGACCCCUAAGGCGAGGCCGAAAGGCGUAGUCGAUGGGAAACAGGUUAAUAUUCCUGUACUUGGUGUUACUGCGAAGGGGGGACGGAGAAGGCUAUGUUGGCCGGGCGACGGUUGUCCCGGUUUAAGCGUGUAGGCUGGUUUUCCAGGCAAAUCCGGAAAAUCAAGGCUGAGGCGUGAUGACGAGGCACUACGGUGCUGAAGCAACAAAUGCCCUGCUUCCAGGAAAAGCCUCUAAGCAUCAGGUAACAUCAAAUCGUACCCCAAACCGACACAGGUGGUCAGGUAGAGAAUACCAAGGCGCUUGAGAGAACUCGGGUGAAGGAACUAGGCAAAAUGGUGCCGUAACUUCGGGAGAAGGCACGCUGAUAUGUAGGUGAAGUCCCUCGCGGAU
RNAcentral lists this ribosomal RNA (486 nucleotides) under Escherichia coli. RNAcentral's name for it is "partial 23S ribosomal RNA". It matches the Rfam family "Bacterial large subunit ribosomal RNA", at positions 1291 to 1777 of the family's 2925-position model. The record is from RNAcentral. Lineage: Bacteria; Pseudomonadati; Pseudomonadota; Gammaproteobacteria; Enterobacterales; Enterobacteriaceae.